Molecule: long non-coding RNA, 1116 nt
Organism: Microplitis demolitor
Lineage: Eukaryota; Metazoa; Arthropoda; Insecta; Hymenoptera; Braconidae
Exons: 3
Source: RefSeq, a predicted model, not a curated record
GGUUAGAUAAUAAAUUUCUUAGAGAACUUGUAUGAAAAUAGUAAGCAUGCCGAUUGGUUUAUAUAUUGAAGGGAAGUGAAUCUUUUAAUAUUAUUAUUAAUAAUAGUAAUAAACAAUUACAACCGAUGUAAACUCUAAUGAUAUAAUUUUUAUAAUUCUAAAUAUAGUACAAUAAUAUAGUUAAUCAGCAUCUGAGUGAGAAAUUGUACGAUAGUGCUAUUAUUAAAAAAAAAUUAUCUUGUAACCAAUUAUAAUAAAAAAGUUUAGUACAGGUUCAACAAUUAACUACAAAUACUCAUGGGAGGUACAUUAAUGUAACUCAUGGCAGUAAUGAGGAAGUACAGAACAAUAAUAACAAUGAAACAAUAGAAAAAUUAAUGGAGAAAAAUAGGCAAUUAAAUGACGAAAUGCAACCAAUGCCCCGUCAACGACAUUCUGAUGAUAAUAAUGAAGAUCUCCAACGACUACAACGACAACAAGAACAACAAUUACAAGAGCAACGACUAAAACAGCGAUUAGAAGAAGUGUUACGACAACGAUGAAACCAACGACAAGAACAACAAUUAGCAGAUCAAUGACGACAACAGCGAUUAGAAGAAUUACAAAGGCAACAGAAACUAAGACAAGUCCAGGAAUUAGAAGAACAUCGGCGACGACAGCGAUUAGUAGAACAACGUUGGCAGCAACUACAACACGCCGAAGAUGAAGAAGAUCAGCGCAUAAUUGACCCAGUUCACGUUGGAGGACAAAUAUACGUUUCUAGCCGUUCACAUACCGAAGCAUUUAGACAGUAUAAAUCAUCAAAAUUUAUAACGGUAAUGUCACAUGCGAUUUGGGGGUAUCGAAAUUUGGCUCUUCGAGCGGUUAAAAUUACUAAAAGAAAUCAAAGUAAAUUGCCAUUAACACCUGAAAAGAGAGUGGUCCUGGAACACCAAUAUCAUAAAUUUCUAAAAAAAAAGAAAUUUAUCUAACGAGAUGGUCAUCAUGGAACGAAAUAACAUUAAUACGUAUUUAGGACGUUCUAUUACAAGUGCAGAAAAAAAAGCAAUGGGAUCAGGAUAAUGCAUGUAAUAUGGAGAUUUAAGUUAAAAUAAAUACAGAUACUAAAAUACUCGA